Molecule: ribosomal RNA, 332 nt
Filed under: uncultured Glomus
Lineage: Eukaryota; Fungi; Glomeromycota; Glomeromycetes; Glomerales; Glomeraceae
Description: SSU rRNA
Rfam family: Eukaryotic small subunit ribosomal RNA
Source: RNAcentral
GAAAAAUUAGAGUGUUUAAAGCAAGCUAACGCUUGAAUACAUUAGCAUGGAAUAAUGAAAUAGGACGUUCGAUCCUAUUUUGUUGGUUUCUAGGAUUGACGUAAUGAUUAAUAGGGAUAUUGGGGGCAUUAGUAUUCAAUUGUCAGAGGUGAAAUUCUUGGAUUUAUUGAAGACUAACUACUGCGAAAGCAUUUGCCAAGGAUGUUUUCAUUAAUCAAGAACGAAAGUUAGGGGAUCGAAGACGAUCAGAUACCGUCGUAGUCUUAACCAUAAACUAUGCCGACUAGGGAUCGGAUGAUGUUAAUUUUUAAUGACUCAUUCGGCGCCUUACG